RNAcentral lists this small RNA (122 nucleotides) under Mesorhizobium alhagi CCNWXJ12-2. RNAcentral's name for it is "Rhizobiales sRNA Atu_C8". It matches the Rfam family "Rhizobiales sRNA Atu_C8". The record is from Rfam by way of RNAcentral. Lineage: Bacteria; Pseudomonadati; Pseudomonadota; Alphaproteobacteria; Hyphomicrobiales; Phyllobacteriaceae.
CAUGAAGAUGACAGUCAUUCUCGUAGUAGGAAGGCGCGUGGGCAAGGCGGUGUAACCGCCGGGCGGAAAGCUCCCAUGCGCUAAACACAGGCUCCCUCGGGGGCCUUUUUUAUUGGCCGAAA